UCUCCCGCACUGAGGCAGUGCCGGUACUGGAGGGUUUGUCGGGAUUUCCAUGGAAGGACCGAGUGACAAGCGGCACGCAGCCAGGAGAGGUGGCUGCCGUGUAGCACCACAGAAGGGCAAGGAUGCCGCAGAGAUGAAGAGCAGCAUAAAUACAGAUAAUAAACAUUUCAGAAGAAGGUUUCUCUAAAAUGAUAGUAACAAAGGGAUUUUAAUAAUGUAUUAAUUGCUAUAUGGGGACAGUAUAUAAGUGGUAGCAGUGACAUAGGAAGGGGUGCAGCUUCAAGCAACAUGACUGUGCUCCAGUAGGAAACAUUUCAAAGGGAUUUAUUAAGACUCUGCCUCAGUUUUGACUCAAGUUUGCCUGGAAUUUUUGCCUAUGCACAAUAUAAACUAAACAAAGAUUUGCAAUGGACCUGUUUUGGGAAUUUCAAUGACUACCUCAGUUCUGCAUCUGGGAGGAAAAGCAAGUGGAGUCACUGCUGUGGAGGAAGAGUAGGUAUGUCAAGAUGCUCAGAAUGAUACUAGACAUUCUAACAUCAGAAAAUAUGUCAGCACCCCAAACUUCCUACGACCUGGCAGAAGCUUGUCAUUAAAAGUCACUUUCAGAAGACCUGGAAAUACAGGGGAUCUCCAGGGGGUCGAAAAAAAGUUCAUAAUGAAACAGUAUUUGAAGGACACACAGAACAACCUGGCAAUUCACGAAGUGAACUUCUGUCCAGCCUUGACAUUGCCUGGAUUCUUCUGGCUCUGGGCCUGAUGGAAGUCCAUAGCCUGAAAUGUGUGCUGCCCAAAAUGACUGUGUUAGUAAACACCAAGAUAAAAGAAAGUAUAUUAUUUAUACUAAGUAACAUGUAUUUACAAAAAACAGAUUUUGCUGAGAUAAUCGGAUACCUUUCUCAGAAAAGCAAGACAUUUUCAUAUAAAGCUGCUAGAUGCAUGAGGCUUCAGUUUUGUGCAGCUCUUUUAUGGAGAGGUUAUAGCAUAUCAGUAUAUCAGUUCACAAUCCAGUAGUCAAGUCUAUCUUAAUGUUAAACAAUCAUUGUUCAGUAUCAUUCAUUGUUCAGGGGUAGUAACCAGUGAAGCUCCACCUAGAUUGUCUCCUGGCUAUUUUUCAUUUUGAUCUGUGGUACAGAAAAAAACCCAUAAACUCACCCUAUGGCAACAGACCAGAGGAACAGAAACUAAAAUAGGCCACUGAUGUAAUCAGAUGGUAAACAAAACCCAAGCAUAUUAUAUGUUACCCUAUUACAGGUAAACAUUAUAUAUCUAAGAAUAGAGAAUGAAGGCAAAAACUUAAGAUGGGAAACUAUGCUUUGAAGCAGUAGUUCUGGAAAAGACUCAUGAAAGAGGGACACAGCAACUGAACAGAAACUCCCACUGAAAGAGGACCUAGAGGGAUAAGGAAAUCUUUAGAUGUACAGGCAAGUGAGUUCUUGAGUUGGGCUAAGGAAGAUUUUGAGAUUUGUUAGUAAUCUUGCCAUUAUGCAGAAAUACUGGGUCUAGUUCUCCUGUGUUUGGGUCUGGGAGGAUGUUGUCACGUUAGUGGGGGGAGAGGUCAGUGUCAUUUUUCUGUGCUAGACCCAAAGCACACAUUAAAGAACUCCUAAUGGUCCAGAGACUUCUCUUAUAGACAAGAAAAUGGUGUAAUGCAGCAAGCAGAAUGCUGACAUUAGUGAAAGCAAAGCUUUUUAUACCUGAAAGAUUGAUUUCUGGUUGUUAUCAAGUAUAAUUUUCCUGGAACUGAAACCAUUCAAUACAACUGUAUUUUUCUCCUAGAUGGAAGUAAAUACCUUGAGGUCAAGCUUUCUAGCUUCUGCCUGUGACUGGGAAAAAAAUUAUGUCCCAUAAGAUAGUUUCCUGAAACAGGAAAACCUUAUGCACUUCUGAGGAUAAAUGUCAGACUAUUUCUUUUACUGGACUUUUGAAAAUAUGAAAUUAAAUAAUAGAAUCAUAGAAUCAUUAAGGUUGAAAAAGACCACCAAGAUAAUUUAGUAAAACCAUCAACCCAGCACUUUCAAGUCUGCCUUCAUUCUUUUUGAAAGGGUUUCCUCCACUUCAAGAACCCUUUUCUCUGCCCUCAUAUUUUGCUCUUGGACUGCUUUUGUGCAGGGCAACCAAUGUCAACACUUGCAUGUGUCCCCGUGUGAGGAUUUAUGUAUUUGCAAGUUGCCUGCAUCCUAACGCUUCUUUUCAUUGUGGCAGCACAGUGUAUGCAACUAGGAGGCUCAAAGUGCCUAAAAGUGUCCUUUCUUUUUUACUGAGUCACUAUGCAGUUGCUUACUGAUGAUAGAAAAAAGGAACAACUGGAGACCACCUGCUCCAAGCCCCUGCUUAGGACAGGGUUGAUUUAAUACAUGCUACUCUGUGUCUUUUCCAGUCAGUUGUAAGUAUGCCAAGGUAUGAGAAUCCUCAGUACCUCCAGGCAGCCAGUGCUUGAAAGGCUUUCCCCCCCUAAUGUUGUGAUGGAAUUUCCAUUCUUGUUCCCUGAUAGGCAAGUAAGUGUCAACUAGUGUUUACAGGGAAGGCAGUGUGCUUGAUGGUGAUGCGAUGAAGGACUAACACAGGGAGGUGGCAUUUACAUUCUUCAGCUUGCUCUUGGUCUUACUGGUUGCUCCGCAACUCCUCUUCAGUGAAACCAGAUAAGAUUUGAGUAGCAACGUUGUUCUCCAGUCAGCGGGCAGUUCAAUGACCAGGUAGUUGACCAAAGUGUUUGAUGAAGUCAGAGCAGAUUCUGUUUUGACCAGGACUUUAAUGAGUGUUGUGUUUACCUGCCUCCAUUUCAUGUCCAUCUUCUCAUGCCAGUUUUAGUAAUUUCUGGUUCCCUCCUUAGUUGCAUCUCUUGAAAGAUUUUAUAAACUAUUCCCAAUAUCUGUCUGUUUUCAGCUCUGACUUGCUAACAUCGCUGGACUUCUUCCUUGAGUCUUCACCACACAAGUGAUAUGCUUUUUCUCUUACCCUCAACUUUAUUUGGAAUUGAAAAGUUCAAAGUCUUGUGAUUUUCAAGUUUACCUUUGCAUAAUGUUCACGUUCCUGCUGCUGAUGAUUACAGCAGAUGUAGACAGCACCCAAGCACCAAGAGUAGUCUCUGGCAACACUACAAGUUCCCACCACAGCUGGAGCCACUAUCUGUAAGACAUCACGCAUCUCAUUUGCUACUUUAGGAAAAGUGUUACUCUCAGGCAGUCUCUUGAGGGGGUUCCUGCUGAGAAGACAACAGCAUGCCUUAUUUUAAUUUGGGGGUGUCAAAUCCCAAGAAAAUCUUUGGACUUUCAACUACAAAACAUUAUGUAAAACUGAACUUACUUACGAGGAAAAACCUUCCUCACAGGCUAGAGAAAAUAAAGCAAACAAACAAACAAAACCCAAAACCAAACAAGACAAAAACAAGAGCCCAAUCAACUAACCAACCAAAAAGCAAAGGAGGGCAGGAAUACCAUAUAAAUUCAUAGAUUGCUAAACGUCAUGAGUGAACAUACUAAAGAGACUUAAAUGACUUUUUGUUAAUUCAAAUGAACAAAAACUCUCUUUAAACAGACUGGAAAAGCCAGAGGAAUUUGUUUCGCAUAACCUAGAUCUGCCGUUUCUCUGGAGCUACUGGAACAUGAACAAUUUUAUACAAUAAACAUAAACCAUUCUAUACAAUAAGGGAAAUUAAUAGAGAUUAACCCACAGCAUUAAUAAGUUCAUGUUUUGUAGCCCUCAGGAUUUCCUUGCUCUUUUUGGCGGACUGGACAGCAGCUGGUUUUGGAACUGUUUCUAACCAGCAGAGCAAGCAGGCAGGUUUCCUUCCCUGGGGACAGCAAUCACAAUCCUGUCUGUUUCACUGUCAGGAGGUACCAAGAAACUGGUUUUAAAAAGCAAUAUGGAAAUAAAACAUGACCUGAAACUACACAUUGCAGUCAUGAGGAUCCAAGCAUGUCUGAGCUGGGACGGGGGGCCAUAGAUUGGCUGUUGUGGACUCCAGGGCAAAGCCAUGCAGGGAAUAAGUGCAGCAGCAUUCCCUGCUGGCCUACCCACAUACAAAUCCUAUCCCAGAUUGCUUUCAAAAUGCUAGUAAGGACUCUCCACCAAUUCUCUUUCACUGAUGUCACAAGAAGACCCACAGAAAUCCAAAAGCUCUACAGCAAGUUGUUAGCAAAGGAGAAACAGCUGGGAGAUGAGUAACUAAAGCAUUCUGUGUCUGCACACCUGCAGAGUGCAGGUUGAGACACCUCAAUGGCAAGACCCUGGAAGCUGCCCAAGAGAGGGAUGGUAGGUAUCCGACAUGUUUCUGAAGCUCUGUGGGAAACCUUCACUGUGGAAAACCCAGCUGCUGACAGGUCACACCCCAUGGCACACAUCCAUUUUUCUUUCUGUGCUUCAAGAGAAUUGAGCCAAGCUAUCUCUGCAUUCACAUAUCUCCAUAAAUUUUUCUGGUGAAGAUGGAGAUUUUAUAAAUAUGGGAGUAAAUCUCUGUGUAGGCUUAGAUGUUUGCCUCCAAAAGACUACGACAGCAUUUGAGCCAGUUAAGAUACACUGAAUGCUGGACUGAGUUCCCUUACUGGGAAGGGAGUCUGGUCUACUAUGAUGUGUGUGGAGCCAGUAGGAAAACUGGGAGAAGAGUGAAUUACUGUUACUUCUGGCAGCUGCACAAGCCCAGAAACUUUACCAUAGGCUGCUUUAAGUAGGAUUUUUUUUCUGUGUAAAGGAAUAGUGACAAACCUGUGAAUAGUUAGGGCUUGUGCAGUCUUACCUACCUCACCUUAAAAGUAUUUUCCAUUUGUAAGAGUCCCAAAAGCUCAAACACAUCUGUGACUUUCUGGCAAAAACAAAACAAACUCACAAGCCAAAUUGAAAAUUUGAUACCCUAGAUAGAGAAACCUGCAUAUAUUAUGGGUAGUGCAAAACAUUAAAAAUUUCUUGCACUACAAAUAUUACACUUAGGCCAUGGGUGACAUUCCAUUACAGCACAUGGGUGCUGUAAUUGUGAAAUGACUGUUUUUCACCUCUAAAAUUACCAGUUUCCGUGUUUUGACUCCAGUAUGGAUUCAGGGCCAUUUUCUCUGCUAUUGUUAACAUACCUGUAGUUCAUAAGCAGCAUCUCUUAUGCAGUGCAAACAUCUGUUUAAGAAAAGGGCAGCAAAAAAUAAAGUAGGAAGCAGCAAAAUAAAAGGAACUAAUUGAAAUUUCCAAGAUGGAUUCAGAAUAAAUAUCCCAACAAAUGUCAGCCAACACUAAGGAGGCCAAAUUGAAUGGUGCUCUGAGCAACCUGGUCUAGUGGAAGUUGUCCCUGCCAAUGGCAGGGUGCUGGAACUAGAUGAUCUUUAAUGUCCCUUUCAACCCAAACUAUUAUUCUAUGAUUCUUUACCAACUUUGAUGAGAAUCACUUCUCUUAGUGAUAACAACUACAGGAAACUUUGCAAAUUUGGAAUUUAAAAAACUAACCAUUGAGCUUUACUCUUCAAACUACGUCAGUGCCAUGAAAUCCCCCCCCCACCUCUGUAAGCUCUAAAUGUAAAUGCUUAUAUGAAACUGCAACUUAUCUUUUUGCUGUAUAUGAUUAACUAGUCAAAGGACUCACAGCAAGCCUGUGAGUGGUUCUGUUGUGCAAGUCAAAUGGUGAACAACAGGGAGAAUUUUUUUAUAUCCCUGUGGUAAAUGAUCAGGUAAUCCCAAGGAGACAGUCUGCAUUUCACCACUAUUGGUGAUGUGUAGGUGCAUAGUCUAAGCUAGGGCUCUAAACUCUCUCAAAAGUCAAUGAGAACAAGAGAAGAGGGAUUGCCUUUUGAAGGUGUUCAUUUAAGAAUGGGAAGAAACUGCCAAGUCAUUUUCACUGUCUGUAAAUAAAGAUAGAUUAGAUUUCAAGUUUUAUACCUCUAAAAGUUAGGCAAGACUGCCUCCUCUACAGGUAAGCCCUAUUUAAAAGGAUUAUUUCACUCUAGGCUAUAAAAUAAUUUGAUUUGAGUAGAUGUGUUUGGCAAUGGAGAUGUGUCAAUUAGGAGUAAUGGAUCUCAGUUUCAGUAGUGUCUGAAGGUGAAAAAUCCAGAGCAGACUGGAGUAUUUUACUGAAUAAUCAGUAUUAUGCUUACCUUGUAUUAUGCAUAUUUUUUCCAUUUUGUUGAUAUUGCUUUUCAUAUGGUCUUGCACUUUGAAAACAUUUAAACAAUUGAUAGUAUUACUUUUUAUUACAUACAAUUAGCUAAGUAGCCUUGGCAAAAUUAUUAUUUUUAAUAAUAUUUCCUGAUGAAGAAAAGACUAAUCUAUAUCUAGAUAUCCCAGGGGGAAAAAACGAGUCUUUGAUAGAUGGGCCUCAUGAGUGUACUAACUAUGCAUUAAAAGAUACAUGGAAAUUCUUUAUAAUGCAGUUAAAGUGAACAAAUCCAACUAACAAUCAGAAAACACUUCUUGAAUAAUUUCAAGCAGUCACCAUGCUUUUAAUUUCCCUUUUAAAAAUGAUAGUGGUAUUGAUAACAUUUUGUUGUAUAGUAAAAAAUCUGUCUGUAUUUUCUCACUGAAAGAGGUCAAAAUGGAUUGCGCUAAUCACAUGGUGUAUAAAAACCAGGCUCAAUCAAAAAACUUGAAUUCACAGUGUGAUUCAUUUUACUCAGCUACAUUCCAAAGUAAUGCACAGAUUAGGUAACAAAAAUGAUUCCUUGAUCAAUAGCUAAUAAAAAUGAUUCACUGAAUGAUCAGUGAAAUCUGAAAUAAAAAUUUGUAUUAAAAAAGCCCCAUAAAAAUUAUGUAGACAGUCAGUUUUGACAAGUGCUCACUUACAGAGUUUUCCAUAACUGAGUACAUACUUUUUUGCAAUAUGUGUGAUAGUGCCAAAAAGGGGUAGUCCUUUUUCACUGCCUUAUCUGAAACAAACCUAUUUUAAAAAUUAUGAAGAGACACAUUCUCACUACAUGAGACCACUACUUUAAUGUAGUUCAUUUUCCCUUUAGCUGGCAUCCAGGCUGCUGUUAAGGACAGGCUUCCUAGCAAAUGAAAUGGCAUCCUGCUGUGCCUUUCAUGAUGGAUACUGUACACUUACCAAUCGGUAAACCAGAGAUGACGCUACUGAAUAUUUUAUAGAAGCUUCUAAAAAAUGGAGGCUGUUAUAGUUUCUAGAGUCAGUGUGACUGAGAUCUAAGUGAUUAACUCCAGGACAUUUCUACAACCAUCCUUUUCCUUUUGUGAUUAUCUCAUUAACAGGCAUUCUAAAUUACCUAAAAUCCUAUUAAAAUCAAAAAGAAAUAGAAAGUAUAUGCCUGUCACUGACUAUGUAAUACUGCUGAAUUUUCAGAAAAGCCUGAUGAUGAGUUGCUCUAUGGAGCAACAAUCCUACUUCUAUGGAGUGACUAAUGGAAAGAUAAAGCAAGUAUGUCCUUACUGGUUGUAAGAAACUCUCUUUCUCCUUUAUCUUGCUGUGCACAAUCAAAUUUUUUGGUAGGAGGUGUGCUAAAUAUUCAUGCUAAAAACAUUAAUGCGAAAAUAUGGAUUUAAAAAACAUUACCAUGAAAUAAUAGUGAUAAAGAAGCCUAGAUAUGAUGACUUGGAAGUGGAAUUACAGCAGCAUCUGAGCAUCAGAUCUGAAUUCAGUUUAGCUCUGACAUCAAACUGUCUGCAUUAUAGACAUGUAAUUUCAUGUACUUUCACACCCCAUCUCCAUCUCAUGCUUUCUGUUUCAUCCUAUCCACCUGUUUCACCCAUUUAGAAUAAAUGUUUUGGGGGCAAUAGCUCAUUUCAUAGAUGCCUUCAUGUUAAAUAGACCAAAUUGUAUUGGUCCUAAUCCUAAUUACAAUAUUACAACUAGGGAAAGGAUAAUUCACAUCCAAAUAAUAAAGGGGUAAAGUAUAAUGAACUUUAAAAGGUCAUUGGUGAUUCAUACAGAAGGAGAGAAGUUCUUUAGAAGGCUGAAACCAGAAUUACUCAUCAGGAUGGUGGGAUUUGCUUUAGCCCCAAAAAAGAAAUCAAAGCGAAGUCUGCAAUUGGAUUUUAACUACAACAAUACCAGGUCUGUGGAAUUCAGAGUCUUCAUUCAGGCAAAAUUUAAUACCAAAGGUCUCUUAGGCUGGAUCAACUAAAACAUUGAUACUAAAACAGGAUAGAAAUUACUGGGUUUAGUAUGUAUGAAAUUAAUAGUUCACAAAAAAUUAAAGCAGAGAGUUCUCUUGUGUGACUGUUUAUUUCUUUGUCGUUUUGGCAACCUAAUUCCUGAGGCUGGAUACAUCAGAUUAUCAGUGAAUAUUUAAAUGUAAUGAACAUGACAACAAUAAACACAAGCUUGCAGUUCAGAGAAUGAUCUAAGAUGAACUUAAAACCUUUGCUUGUAGGAUUGAGAAAAAAGGUUGAAAUCUGUUGGGAGUUUGCCUUUAUGGCUUGGAAGAGGGAAAUGGACUUCCAGAGCACUAGAUCAUAAAGGACCUUAUUCCUAUUGCUCUCAAACCCAGCAAAUAUGAAGAAAGAGACUUUCACUUAUGUGCAGAGUGAAAUGUGAUACACAGUGAAGGCUCAGGUCUGAAUCAUGCCUAUCAACUUCUGUAGUUCCACUGGGCAGUGGUCCAUCAACCUUUGCACAAAGUGUAGCAGCAAACAGUGUUCUUGUACAGUAGUUCUUUACAACAGAAUAAAGGUGAUGGUAUCUUG
Passer domesticus (house sparrow) is the source of this 8607-nucleotide long non-coding RNA. RefSeq lists it as uncharacterized. The transcript is spliced from 2 exons. Lineage: Eukaryota; Metazoa; Chordata; Aves; Passeriformes; Passeridae. The record is from RefSeq and is a predicted model, not a curated record.